Molecule: ribosomal RNA, 253 nt
Filed under: uncultured bacterium
Lineage: Bacteria
Description: partial 16S ribosomal RNA
Rfam family: Bacterial small subunit ribosomal RNA
Source: RNAcentral
UACGUAGGGUGCGAGCGUUAAUCGGAAUUACUGGGCGUAAAGGGUGCGCAGGCGGUUAUAUAAGACAGAUGUGAAAUCCCCGGGCUCAACCUGGGACUGCGUUUGUGACUGUAUGACUAGAGUACGGUAGAGAGGGGUGGAAUUCCUGGUGUAGCAGUGAAAUGCGUAGAUAUCAGGAGGAACAUCGAUGGCGAAGGCAGCCCCUUGGACCUGUACUGACGCUCAUGCACGAAAGCGUGGGGGAGCAAACAGG